RNAcentral lists this ribosomal RNA (483 nucleotides) under uncultured bacterium. RNAcentral's name for it is "bacterial SSU rRNA". It matches the Rfam family "Bacterial small subunit ribosomal RNA", at positions 14 to 507 of the family's 1533-position model. The record is from RNAcentral.
AGAUCAUGGCUCAGGAUGAACGCUGGCGGCGUGCUUAACACAUGCAAGUCGAACGAAGACAUCUGAGUGCUUGCACUUGGAUGGACUGAGUGGCGGACGGGUGAGUAACGCGUGGGUAACCUGCCUUAUACAGGGGGAUAACAGUUGGAAACGACUGCUAAUACCGCAUAAGCGCACGGUAUCGCAUGAUACAGUGUGAAAAACUCCGGUGGUAUAAGAUGGACCCGCGUCUGAUUAGUUAGUUGGCGGGGUAACGGCCCACCAAGACCGCGAUCGGUAGCCGACCUGAGAGGGUGACCGGCCACAUUGGGACUGAGACACGGCCCAGACUCCUACGGGAGGCAGCAGUGGGGAAUAUUGCACAAUGGAGGAAACUCUGAUGCAGCGACGCCGCGUGAGCGAAGAAGUAUUUCGGUAUGUAAAGCUCUGUCAGCAGGGAAGAUAAUGACGGUACCUGACCAAGAAGCCCCGGCUAACUACGUG